AACGAACGCUGGCGGCAUGCCUAACACAUGCAAGUCGAACGAUCCCUUCGGGGACAGUGGCGCACGGGUGCGUAACGCGACGGAACCUGCACUCGGGUUGGGAAUACCUCUGAGAAAUUUGAGCUAAUAGCGGAUAAUGUCUUAGGCCGAAAGAUUUAUUGCCUUUGGAUGGGCACGCGUUGGAUUAGCUAGUUGGUGGGGUAAAGGCCUACCAAGGCGACAAUACAUAGCUGGUCUGGGAGGAUGAUCAGCCACACUGGGACUGGGACACGGCCCAGACUCUUACGGGAGGCAGCAGUGGUGAAUGUUGGACACUGGGCGAAUGCCUGAUCCUGUCAGGCCGCGAGAGUGAUGAAGGCCUGAGGGUUGUAAAGCUCUUUUACCCGCGAAGAUAAUGACAGUACCGAGAGAGUAAGCCCCGGCUAACUCCGUG
This 433-nucleotide ribosomal RNA is filed under the name uncultured bacterium. RNAcentral's name for it is "partial 16S ribosomal RNA". It matches the Rfam family "Bacterial small subunit ribosomal RNA", at positions 29 to 507 of the family's 1533-position model. The record is from RNAcentral.